This is a long non-coding RNA of Marmota monax (woodchuck), 666 nucleotides long. RefSeq lists it as uncharacterized. The transcript has 5 exons. The record is from RefSeq and is a predicted model, not a curated record. Lineage: Eukaryota; Metazoa; Chordata; Mammalia; Rodentia; Sciuridae.
GUUCUGUUCCUAAGGAAGCUCUGGAUGCCAGGCGGACCACCAAGAGCCUUUGCCACUGUCACCCAAGGCCCAGGCUGCCCACCCCUGGCCUUCUCUGGAGCACCUGUUCUUCCCAGCUUUUGCAUAUGAGAGAGAACAUUCAGCCCUCGAGUUUCGUGAAUCUGCAAGCUCCCGUCUCUUUUCAAAGCUGGGAUUCUUUUGAGGCAUUAUUUCUUCAGGUCCUUCACGCUGCCUGCACGUUGUUUUCAGUGACUUCCUCUCUGCUAUUCAGAUUGGGUGAUUCCUGUGUUCCUCGCUCCCAUUCAAGCGUCGUCUUUCCUCUGAUUCCCGGGCUGUUGUACGAAGCCUGUUGACGGAGCAUUUUAUUUUGGCUCCACUCCUAAAGGUCCCAUCAGUCCCAACAGCACCACAGACUGGGGACAAGCCUCCAACGCCCAGCCUUUGGGGACCUCAUCCAAGCUGUGGUAGCAGGAGGAAUCAGAGAUGGUGACUGCUGCGCUUGCAGUGUGUGGAUAAUGAGAGCCUCUGUGUUGCUGUGGGAUCAGGGAGGCAGUCUGUGCAAAGCGUCUCACCCCGGGAGCAGUCCAAGGCACCUCCCUUUCCUGGGAAAGCGAGUUUUGUUUCAACAACAUAAUUACAAAAUCUGGAAAAUAAAGGCUCCUCUCU